RNAcentral lists this ribosomal RNA (830 nucleotides) under uncultured archaeon. RNAcentral's name for it is "bacterial SSU rRNA". It matches the Rfam family "Archaeal small subunit ribosomal RNA", at positions 41 to 878 of the family's 1478-position model. The record is from RNAcentral.
UGAUUAAGCCAUGCGAGUCGAGAGGGUUCGGCCCUCGGCGUACUGCUCAGUAACACGUGGAUAACCUGCCCCUAGGGAAGGGGAUAAUCCCGGGAAACUGGGGAUAAUACCCUAUAGGUUACAGAUGCUGGAAUGCUCUGUAAUCAAAAGUUCCGGCGCCCUAGGAUGGAUCUGCGGCCGAUUAGGUUGUUGUUGGGGUAAUGGCCCAACAAGCCAGUAAUCGGUACGGGUUGUGGGAGCAAGAGCCCGGAGUUGGAUUCUGAGACACGAAUCCAGGCCCUACGGGGCGCAGCAGGCGCGAAAACUUUACAAUGCGGGCAACCGUGAUAAGGGAACCUCGAGUGCCUGUAAAUGCAGGCUGUUCAGAUGCCUAAAACACAUCUGGAGAAAGGGCAGGGCAAGACCGGUGCCAGCCGCCGCGGUAAUACCGGCGGCUCGAGUGGUGGCCACUUUUAUUGGGCUUAAGGCGUUCGUAGCUGGGUUGUUAAGUCUCUUGGGAAAUCUGGCGGCUUAACCGUCAGGCGUCUAAGGGAUACUGGCAAUCUUGGAACCGGGAGAGGUGAGGGGUACUUCGGGGGUAGGAGUGGAAUCCUGUAAUCCUCGAGGGACCACCUGUGGCGAAGGCGCCUCACCAGAACGGCUUCGACAGUGAGGGACGAAAGCUGGGGGAGCAAACCGGAUUAGAUACCCGGGUAGUCCCAGCCGUAAACUAUGCGCGUUAGGUGUAUCGGUGACCACGAGUUACCGAGGUGCCGAAGGGAAACCGUGAAACGUGCCGCCUGGGAAGUACGGUCGCAAGGCUGAAACUUAAAGGAAUUGGCGGGGGAGCA